Molecule: ribosomal RNA, 381 nt
Filed under: uncultured bacterium
Lineage: Bacteria
Description: bacterial SSU rRNA
Rfam family: Bacterial small subunit ribosomal RNA
Source: RNAcentral
GACGAACGCUGGCGGCGUGCUUAACACAUGCAAGUCGAACGGACCGAGUUGAUAGCUUGCUAUUGAUGAGGUUAGUGGCAAACGGGUGAGUAACGCGUAGGCAACCUGCCCUUCAGAUGGGGACAACACCUCGAAAGGGGUGCUAAUACCGAAUGACGUUUCCUAGUCGCAUGACCUGGAAACCAAAGGCCGGGCAACCGGUCACUGAAGGAUGGGCCUGCGUCUGAUUAGCUAGUUGGUGGGGUAAACGGGCCCACCAAAGGCGACGAUCAGUAGCCGGUCUGAGAGGAUGAACGGCACAUUGGGACUGAGACACGGCCCAAAACUCCUACGGGAGGCAGCAGUGGGGAAUAUUGCACAAUGGGGGAAACCCUGAUGCAG